GACGAACGCUGGCGGCGUGCUUAACACAUGCAAGUCGAACGGUGAGGCCCUGCUUGCGGGGGGGGUUAGUGGCGAACGGGUGAGUAAAACGUGAGUAACCUGCCCUCUUCUCUGGGAUAAGACUUGGAAACAGGGGCUAAUACUGGAUAUUGGUUCCUCCGCUGCGGGGGGGGGGUGGGAAGGUUUUGGCGGUUGGGGAUGGGCUCGCGGCCUAUCAGCUUGUUGGUGGGGUAGUGGCUUACCAAGGCUUUGACGGGUAGCCGGCCUGAGAGGGUGACCGGCAACAUUGGGCCUGAGAUACGCCCAAGACUCCAACGGGGGGCAGCGGUGGGGAAUAUUGAACAUGGGGCGGAGGCCUGUGGAGGGAACGCGGGGGGCGGGUGAAGGGCCUCCGGGUGGUAAACGGUUUUCGCCGGGGACGAGGCGUGAGUGACGGUAAUGGGUAAAGAAGCGCCGGCUAACUACGUG
RNAcentral lists this ribosomal RNA (468 nucleotides) under uncultured bacterium. RNAcentral's name for it is "partial 16S ribosomal RNA". It matches the Rfam family "Bacterial small subunit ribosomal RNA", at positions 28 to 507 of the family's 1533-position model. The record is from RNAcentral.